GGUCCCGUGGUGUAGUGGUUAACAUGCCUGCCUGUCACGCAGGAGAUCGCCGGUUCGACCCCGGGUGGGCUA
RNAcentral lists this transfer RNA (72 nucleotides) under Bacillus sp. Root131. RNAcentral describes it as "tRNA-Asp". It matches the Rfam family "tRNA". From Rfam's summary of the family: Transfer RNA (tRNA) molecules are approximately 80 nucleotides in length. Their secondary structure includes four short double-helical elements and three loops (D, anti-codon, and T loops). Further hydrogen bonds mediate the characteristic L-shaped molecular structure. tRNAs have two regions of fundamental functional importance: the anti-codon, which is responsible for specific mRNA codon recognition, and the 3' end, to which the tRNAs corresponding amino acid is attached (by aminoacyl-tRNA synthetases). tRNAs cope with the degeneracy of the genetic code in two manners: having more than one tRNA (with a specific anti-codon) for a particular amino acid; and 'wobble' base-pairing, i.e. permitting non-standard base-pairing at the 3rd anti-codon position. Lineage: Bacteria; Bacillati; Bacillota; Bacilli; Caryophanales; Bacillaceae. The record is from RNAcentral.